Molecule: long non-coding RNA, 332 nt
Organism: Mastomys coucha (southern multimammate mouse)
Lineage: Eukaryota; Metazoa; Chordata; Mammalia; Rodentia; Muridae
Exons: 2
Source: RefSeq, a predicted model, not a curated record
CCAGCCUUGCAAACACACCUGUGAGGGAUCAUCUAGAGUCUCAGCCUUCUGGGGAUGCCUGUAAGGAAUUCUAUUGAUUAGGCUACUGGAAGUGAAAAGAUUGCUCUAAAUGGAUGAAGUGCUGAAGAGAUGGCUCAGCAGUUGACAGUACCUACUGCUCCUUCAGAGGACCUCAGAGUGACAUUCCUAGCACCCCAGGAGGCUCACAACCACAGGUUAACUCCAGCUCCAGCGAAUCCAAUGUCCUCCUCUGGUCUCUGUGGAUACCUGCACCCCAUCUCCCUCCAAAUACACAUAAUUAAAAAUAAAAUAAAAAGCUUUUUAAAAUAAAA